Pelobates cultripes (western spadefoot toad) is the source of this 225-nucleotide non-coding RNA. Lineage: Eukaryota; Metazoa; Chordata; Amphibia; Anura; Pelobatidae. The record is from the annotation of a GenBank genome assembly.
CCUCCUUCUCCUUUCCCUGUAAACUGAUCUCCGCCUACUGCACCUGCUUGCUGACGGGCUCCUCUCUCUGGCGCUCCAUGCCCCAUCAUGCCUGGUGCUAUCUCCGCGCCGUUCCCUGCUGGCGUUCUUCCGGCCUGGGGUCGCUUCUGAAGCCUUGCUGACCCUGGGAGCUGCAUCCUGCGGCCCUCCCGUCCAUGCCUUACCCCACUUUCCUCUGAACACAAC